This is a long non-coding RNA of Homo sapiens (human), 1414 nucleotides long. Ensembl annotates it as long intergenic non-protein coding RNA 3013. Lineage: Eukaryota; Metazoa; Chordata; Mammalia; Primates; Hominidae. The record is from Ensembl.
GAGUGACAGAGAAGACUGGCAGCUGCAGAGCAGGACAGACCAGAUUGGCCAGUACAACAGCAGAGGGCCAUGUUGGGCUUUGACUCAGGAAUCCUGGUGGAGGCAAUGAUGAGAGAGAAGAGAUAAAACACACUAGGUAAGCCAAGGUAGUUGUCAGGAUAGAAGGAGACAGGCAGGCCAGAUGGCUGUUAACCGUGUGGUGUGUCCCAACUUUCCAGCAUCAAUUUAAUGGCCAAAUUAAAAUCAGCAGAGCCAAGUGUUAGAGUUAUUGCUGCCUGAGUUAUAACAGCUGCCCUGGGAAUCUUGUCUGAACAACAAGUUAACUGCUGUUCCCAGUUAUAUCUGGUCUUUCCCACCCCCAAACAUACACAAAAGAUUUUUGUCAUUCUUGGCACUGGACAACAGAAGUGAUAAGACAUGCCAGCAGAACUCUAAAGGCAGAAUGUCCUUCCACCUGUUUUAUGCUGUAAGACAAACUUCCAAGUGCGAGGCAGUGUGGAGGGCUGUUGCCUUGAAUGGCAGCUGAAUGCACCAGCGGGAUCCUUGGCAGCAAUGCCCAGGCACUGAAGUCGGGCAUUCAGGAGAGCUAAAUGGAGAAAAGAAACUUGAGCAAACUGCUUCCUGGAACACUGAGAACCUGAAUGGGAAAUUAAGAAGAACCAGAUUCUUUCUAUUCUUCCACCAGCCAAGCAACUUCAGGAUGGGGGAAUCAAGCAAAACCAUGGUGAAGAGAUUCAUUUAAAGAGGACAAGUGAUUUAUUCUACAUCUCAGGAGACAGUUCCUUAAGGUGAUGAGCACAAAAGGAUCCAUCUUAUACAGUGCUUGCCAGCUUCCAUAAUACUACUCACCACGAUGUUGAAAUCACCUGUUCCAGAACCAGUCCUGUCCUUUGACAAGAAGGAUUUAAUUAUCAGUAGUGGUGGGGACUGGCUGGAGAGAGGAAAAACACUUCAAGGACUCUGCCACCUUUCGUAGAUGGAGAGUGCAAAGUUUGUACCAUGGAACUCCUUCUCUAACAGUUACUCUGUGGCAGUGCCUAUUUCAAACCUCCCUUAACUUCUGAUUGUAUAGAUGUUUGUUUCAUUUGUUCAUCUGUUUGUUCACUUAGUCAGAGAUGUUUUAAGCCUUAAGAGAAAUAGUGGACUAGAAAAUGCCUUGGAAAAGUACAAAGUUCAAUCCAAGUAAACUGUUUUUAAACUAGGAAUUUAUGAAGCCUAAAAUAUAAAAUGUAUAUACAUGGAUAUGCUCUGAAGUGAGGUAGAGGGGUAGAAAUCAACAUUGUGAUAUUGUACUAUAGUUUUGCAAGAUGUUACCAUUGGGGGAAAAUGUUUGAAGGGUAUACGGGAUAUCUCUGCCUUAUUUCUUACAACUGCAUGUGAAUCUACAGUUAUCUCAAAAUAAAAAUUUAAUUAA